This is a long non-coding RNA of Chinchilla lanigera (long-tailed chinchilla), 1284 nucleotides long. RefSeq lists it as uncharacterized. The transcript is spliced from 4 exons. The record is from RefSeq and is a predicted model, not a curated record. NCBI's taxonomy places the organism in Eukaryota, Metazoa, Chordata, Mammalia, Rodentia, Chinchillidae.
GAUGAAGGAAAAGAUGAAAAGCAAAAGGAGAACAUAGCAGAGGAUGCUAGAACUGGGAGAUCUGGUGCACGGUAUUUAAGAUUUUCCUCAGUUGGGAGGCUGGGGCAGGAGGAUCGCUGUGAGUAGGAGGCCAACCUUGGCUACAAGCUGCAAGUGACAAAAUCUAAUUCAAACUGACUUAGACAAAAGGAGAAUUUGCUAGCACAAGUUACUGGGAAACUAGAGGCACAGAUGCCGGUUUUGGGGACUCAGCUGAUAUUGACAGAGGCAUCACUUCAUCUCCCAGCUUACUUUCCACUGUGCUGGCUUAAUUCUCAGAUUCCUGGGACAGCCCCAGAACUGGCCUCUGAGGAAAAUGCUUCUGCAAUUGCCCCACCAUGCCCUGGAGAGAACCGCUGUCAUUCCGCCUCUUCCACCUCCGAGGCAGCCUUGGCGCCGCUAGGAACUGUGCUGUCAUCCCUCGCUCACUGAAGCCCAGCAGCCUUUGCACCUGCGCAUCAGAAAUUCCACCUGGCAGCUUAUUUAAAAAUUGAUCCAUAAAUACAUAUUUACAAGUUAUGUUUCUAAAUGUUAAGAUGUUAAUGUUAAGAAAACCUCCUCCAUUCUUUUUCCACACGUCAGAAUACUUUGAGGUCAAUCAGAUGGUGUCCAAAUGGAUUCUAAGUUAGUGAGCACAACCAACCUAGUGUGAAAAAUCUAUUUUAAAUCUUAACACACAUAGUUAAAAAACAACAUUGCAACAAGGACUUUCUACUUUGACCAAAACUUUAGUCAGGCUUCUCUGAAUUUUCUGCUUGAUUAAGUCUGUCUUUGGGAUUCCUUCCCCGUCCUUACAGAAAGCUGUCUGAGCAAGAAUCCUGCUGAGACAUUUUACAGAAGAUCCUCCACACCUGCUGUCCCUCUCAUCUUCUUCCGGCAAUAAUUCCAUUAAACUGAUUUAACCGGAACCCCUUAUCUGGAUUUUUCAACAUAUCCAUUCUGCUCAUAUGUAAUAAAUCCCACUUGUCCUUGUUGCAGUCAGAGUUGCGUCCCAGUCCACUCUCUUGCUGCACUGCCCUAUGCAAGAUAUUGGCUUGGCUGCCUCCCCUUUCAGAAAAGUCCACCCUACUGUCUUUCACCAUCAUCAUGAAUGAGCUUUUCUUUAAUAAUAGUAACCUAUAAUGUAUGAGCUAAUUACAAGGUUGUAAGUCAACAGUUCUGUACAAAUAUGAAAAACAACUCUAACUCUUCACAUACAAGAAGAAAGCUUUGUCACUGGAAACAAACCUAGGAAGACAUUUGAAC